CACAGAGUCCCUCAUGACAAGUCAAGCUUUACAACACUUUCACAACAGUUCCAUCGAAACACAGACAGGUAGCCAAACAAGUAUAACAUCGUCCAAACCACUGGAGGUUGUUUCCAUGGAAACGGUUGCCGGUAACGAAGUGGAGAUACAUCCGUCCAGCAAUUUCCCAGGGGAGAUGUCAUACACGUCUUGUCUGGUCUGUGGGGAUCGAGCGUCAGGGUAUCACUACUCCGUGUUCUCAUGCGAGGGUUGCAAGGGCUUUUUCAAGAGGACUGUUCAAAAAAAUUUAACGUAUUGCUGCAAGGAAGGCGGCACCUGUGAAAUCAACAAAUAUACUCGAAACAGCUGUCAAGCGUGCCGCUUUAACAAGUGCCUUCAGAUGGGGAUGAAGCGAGAAGCUGUCCGAGAAGACCGAUCUCCUGGAGGAAAGCAUAGAUUAAAACGACGUAUGGAUGAGACGUCUCCCCUUGUUAUGUCUGAUGGCCUCAUUGGAUUUCCACAAGGGCAGAGAAAGGAGUUCAUUGAUCCUCUGGUGGAAAGUCUGAUCGAAGCAGGGCCAGACGUGAUUCCCAAAUAUGAAGGAGGUCUGACGGCUGGUAUCAGCGUGAACGAGCUGAUGCAGUGUGGGUACUCUGAACUAAAAUACAUCAUCGAGUGGGCCAAGAAGGUACCAGGUUUCAGUGAUCUAGGCAUGGUGGACCAGAUGGCCUUGUUGAAAUCUUCCUUCAUGGAAUUGAACGUACUGAGGUUAGCAUACAGAUCCAUGGGGUUAGACAACACAAUCAAGUUUGCUGAGGGGCUGUUGGUUCCGUCCGAGAUCGCCCAGACGAUGGGUUGGGGGAAGGAACUGAUCAACGCAACGCUGGAGUUUGCCAUUAGACUGAAGGAAGUCCACCUUGACCAUGCUGAAUUCUGUAUAUUGAAUGCCUUGGUCCUCACUUACCCCGAUGCAGUAGGUAUACAGAACAAGGAGAGCGUGAUCACACUUCAGAUUGAGAUCCUGGAAGCAAUGCUGCGCUACAUGAAGUUCCACUAUCCAUUAGAAACACGCAGAUAUGGCAAGAUGUUGCUACGGUUACCAGCUUUACGGACAGUGAGCGAUAAGGCAGCAGAACGUUUCCUGUCCCUGACUUUGGACGGCAGCAUCCAGUUGAAUGAACUUGUCCUGGAAAUGAUCAAUUAAGUGACAGUGUAUUACAGGAAAGGUGGUUGUGCUUGACUGACUCUUCAAGGGUCAAAUGUUGCUUUAUCUGUACCCAGUGGACUGUGUAGUCAUGGCAACAAAUGUUAUUCCAGCAACAGUUACGCACUGAUUUUAUUGAAUCUCACAUUAUUGUCACCUACGCUUCAUCACGUGAGCAUGUCAUAAUGAAAUGUUUCUUUGGUAAUAUGAAGUGGAUGAGAAGCGAGCAAGCGUUGUCACGGUAACAAGGUGUUGAUGAUAUUGUAACUUAUGCUUUAUACGCCACCAUAUACCUGGAAUAUUGCUGAGUGCGGCAUAAACCUAAACUCAAUCACUCACUCUGCUAUGUUGGACAAAACUCUCCUAUGGAUGUUGGACGUCAAUCAUGCACGUUUUGUAUGGAAGAUGCAUGGCAGAGUUUAUCUGCAUCUCCCAUGGUACUUCAGUGCGAAGAACCCACUACCAGGACAACCAGAUAGACCUACCCUAUCUCUUUUGUCCACUAUCCUCGGGCCAGAUGGCAUCAAAGACCUCCCGCUUUGUCCGGUCAGAGCACUUAGAAUCUACAUUGCUGCAUCUCUAGACCGUUGUAGGUUGUGUAAGCGCCUCUUCAUCCCACUCUCUACAGCUUCAUCAGUGGAAGGCUCUCGUAGAACACCCGCCUUCUGGAUGAGAUCUAUCAUCUUACAAGCUUACACAUUCGCUGGUCUUUUUCCUCCAGCUGCGUCGAACCCUCAUGAGACUCGGGCUCUGGCAUCAACUAUGGCGCUUCACAGCAACUCUUCCCUGACUUCCAUCAUGGAGGAAUGCUAUGGUAACAUGACAGAAGAGAUGUUCCUUUCUUAAAUGACCUGGAAGAGACAAGAUGUUGCUAUGGUACCCGGACAAGCAAGAGACACACUUGAUGUUACUACAACAACAAUACAUUCUGUAAGAGACACGCUGCAUAUUGCAGUGUUAAAAUUUAAGGAAAGAGACACUAUUCUUUUGGACAAUGAUAUCCUUAAAUGGCAGAGAAUAGAUGUUGAUGUGUUGCUAUGGUAAUAAGAGAGGAGACAUAGUGUGUUGCCUUGGUAACAUGACAUGGAUGUUGUUAAGAUGGAUGUUGAUACGUGUACACUGUAGCGAACUGACAUUUGGUUGUUUUACCAAGAUGACAACCAAACAACCAUACAUGUAUGCGAAUCUGUUACCAUGGUGAAUGAUUUACUGAAGUGGAGUCAACGAAAUCUUUCAUUACACAAUACAGUUCUCUGUUGUAGAUUAUCAUGGCUUAUGUUUCUUCCAUUGAAUAACUAAAUUUGCUCUUGUAUAGUCUA
RNAcentral lists this unclassified non-coding RNA (2502 nucleotides) under Haliotis rubra (blacklip abalone). Its description in RNAcentral is "steroid hormone receptor ERR2-like, transcript variant X2". The record is from RNAcentral. Lineage: Eukaryota; Metazoa; Mollusca; Gastropoda; Lepetellida; Haliotidae.